Molecule: ribosomal RNA, 484 nt
Filed under: uncultured bacterium
Lineage: Bacteria
Description: partial 16S ribosomal RNA
Rfam family: Bacterial small subunit ribosomal RNA
Source: RNAcentral
AUUGAACGCUGGCGGAAUGCUUUACACAUGCAAGUCGAGCGGCAGCACGGGGGCAACCCUGGUGGCGAGCGGCGAACGGGUGAGUAAUACAUCGGAACAUGCCCAGUCGUGGGGGAUAACACUUCGAAAGAAGUGCUAAUACCGCAUACGUCCUGAGGGGGAAAGCGGGGGAUCGCAAGACCUCGCGCGAUUGGAGUGGCCGAUGUCAGAUUAGCUAGUUGGUGGGGUAAAGGCCUACCAAGGCAACGAUCUGCAGCUGGUCUGAGAGGAUGAUCAGCCACACUGGGACUGAGACACGGCCCAGACUCCUACGGGAGGCAGCAGUGGGGAAUUUUGGACAAUGGGGGCAACCCCGAUCCAGCCAUUCCGCGUGAGUGAAGAAGGCCUUCGGGUUGUAAAGCUCUUUCGGCAGGAACGAAACGGUGAGCUCUAACAUAGCUUGCUAAUGACGGUACCUGAAGAAGAAGCACCGGCUAACUACGUG